CAGAUGGCGACCGGCGCACGGGUGAGUAACACGUAUCAACCUGCCGCUUACUCGGGGAUAGCCUUUCGAAAGAAAGAUUAAUACCCGAUGGUAUAAAGAGUUCGCAUGUUCUCUUUAUUAAGAAUUUCGGUAAGCGAUGGGGAUGCGUUCCAUUAGAUUGUUGGCGGGUAACGGCCCACCAAGUCUACGAUGGAUAGGGGUUCUGAGAGGAAGGUCCCCCACAUUGGAACUGAGACACGGUCCAAACUCCUACGGGAGGCAGCAGUGAGGAAUAUUGGUCAAUGGACGAGAGUCUGAACCAGCCAAGUAGCGUGAAGGAUGACUGCCCUAUGGGGUUGUAAACUUCUUUUAUAAGGGAAUAAAGUGAGGGACGUGUCCCUUUUUGUAUGUACCUUAUGAAUAAGGAUCGGCUAACUCCGUGCCAGCAGCAGCGGUCAGGUGCCAGCCGCCGC
Molecule: ribosomal RNA, 452 nt
Filed under: uncultured bacterium
Lineage: Bacteria
Description: bacterial SSU rRNA
Rfam family: Bacterial small subunit ribosomal RNA
Source: RNAcentral